UUUAAGGACUACAAAAGGAUUCUAAUUAAACAUUUUAUAAACAAUAAUAGGUUGGGCCUUUAGCCAUUAUAUACGUAUAUAUACAGACAGAUAUAUAUGUACACUUACAUUUUGAUGGGAUCAAGUCCUGAUUUAAGUCAGAUAGUUACCAGAGGUGAGAAGGUAGGCUCUGAUUAAAGAUUAGCAAAAUUGAUGUUUCUAUCACUUGAGAAAAGAAAAGUCCUUUGCCUUUAAAGCACACACUGUUUUUAUCAUGCUUACAACGUAUAUACUAGCUGGUAAAACAGCACAGCCCACUUAGCAAUGUUACUGAAAACAAAAGUAUUUAUUGGCAAUUAGAGAUUAUCUAAUUCAGCAAGUUUCUGCGCUCCACUGUUAUGGCAUUUUUAUUUAGAAAUUGUUGAGUUUUGAGUAAGUAUUGUUGCUUAUAAAAUAAUUCCUAGACCUUACUGUUGAUAACUAGAUCAAAUAUAGACUAGACAGGGAAAAACACUGGGUACUUUUAGUGUUUCUAAAGCCUCCUCUGGAGUUAUUCCUGUUACAAUUUGGAAUUGAUAAUAUGAUAGAAAUUGUUAACACUCUUUUUUCUGGAUCGUUUUCAUGCCAGAAAUUAAACAGCUUCUGUUCUUUCUUAGUUAUCACCAGAAUGAAAAUAUUUGAAGUGGUGAUUCUAAAAAAGUCAUUUGUGGCUGGUUAACAUUGAUUUUGAGUUUCUUCAGUAUAUAUUGAUCAUGUGUUGAUCUUUAAUUUUUUUUUCAUAUUUUUGUCAGAUAAAUUCAGAUGUAUAUAAUGGGAUACCUUUUCUUGAGUGAACUACACUAAUAUAGUUCUAAUAUCUACAUGAUUAUACAUUAAGGAAAAAGAAAUAAAGAACUGUAAUAAGCCUAGUAAAUGUUUUUGUUGGUUAUCUUACCACUCAUGUAGAUACUACACAUUUCCACAAUACACAUAAACUUGUAUGAAGCAAAUUAUUUGUUUUGUUCAUUAUCUAGUUCCUAUAUUUUUCUUAACUCUUCAGACUUCUCACUUAACAUGGUGUAUUUAUUUCAUUUUGCUGCUUUUUAGCACCUCUUAUGAAGAUGGUCAAAGGAAAUAAAAGGAGGUAAAACUCAAUUUUCAGUUUAGUUCUUGAGAGCUCUAGGAAAGAUGGGGGAAACAUAAAUUUUAUGAGAUAAACUUAAGGCUAUUGAUUCCUGAACCCCAGAUAAAUCAGUUGGCCUAUAUUUUCAUUUUAAGCUGUACGUCAAAAUUAGUAUAAUGUCGUGCAUUAUUAUUAGGUUUAGUGCAAAACUUUACAGUAAUACAUCUGGAAUUUUAGCAACUGGUUAUUAAAAUCAUUUGGGAAAAAUUUUUUUAAUGUGUUAGGACCUUUAUUUUUCAUCAUCACUUUUUGUUUUCUCAUUGCAUAGGAAUUGUGAAUUUGUAUAUCUUAGGAGACAAGAUACUUUGUGAAAUUUAUUGGGGAAAAUCAAUUUGGAGAGCAUGACGCUAAGAUAAGAAAGCAAUUAAAUUAUUCUAUUAUGAAAUUAGAUACUGCCAGAAAACUUCCUCAUCUAAUAAGGAGAAAGUGGUGGCACUGCUGUUCUGAACUUACCACACAUGGAAAAACUAACCUUCAAAUGUAAUUUUUUGUCUUAUUAAUAAGAUAUCAAAGACAUGAAUUCUUCCCGAACACUUGUGCUCAUUUUGUAUCAGGUUAGUGAGGCAUGUAUUUGUAUAUAUCAAAUAAAGUUAAUUGACCCAGUAAUAAUUUUUCAGUAAUUAAUAAACUCAUAUUCAUGUAGUAUAUUUUCUAACAUUAUUUCCCCCUAUUUCUCUUUUGUCUUCCUAAUUAUUUUUAAGGUAUCAAGAGAGAACUGGCUCCAAUUUUUUUAAAAAUGUGAAGACUUGCAUUUUUACUGUGGUUAUUUAAAAUAUUGGAUAUAAUUUCUGUCUAAACUCUAAAUUCUAUUCACAGGACAAUCAUGGUCUUUGCUAAAAGAUGCCCACAUUUCUGUAUAUUCAGAGUUUGUUGUAUAUUAUAUUUUUCAAUUUCAAUUUUGAACAUAAACACAACACAUUUCUUUCCUAUUUUACCUCUAGUAACUCCCCGUAAAAGACAAAAAUAUAGGUUUCUUUAAAAAUAAGUAGAAAGUAAAUGUCUUUUCCUAAAACAUGGUCAAGUUGACAUGAAAGUAGUUUGGAGUGUAAUAAAAUAAAACAAAUGGCUCUCAACUUGCAUCAGUUGUUAUAAUAUAGUUAAAAAUGUAUAGAGGACAAACUAUGUGUUACGCUGAGAUAGACUCAGUAAGUAAUCAUUUAUUUGCAAAUUGAUAAUUUUGUUCUUAUCCAGAAAGUGUAGUGCAAAGUAACAGUACUUAACAGUGCAAAGAAACUUGUCCUGUAGUAUAUACUGAAAAAUGAUUGUCACUUUGCAGAUCUUUCCAUUUAAACAUGCAUGAUCUUCUCCAGUAUUUUGUAUGAUGUAUGGUGUAUUAAAUACACUUAUGUGUAAUUUGUGUGUAUUUUUUGUAUGGUAAUUAACAUUAUUACAUUUAACUGGUUGUAAUUCACAAAAAGUGCUACUUAUUGUACUCUGUAGAGUGUUGUGGAUGUUUAUAUCUAUGUUUCAGCAUUAUAGUGUAGAUUUAAUAGAUAAUAUUUGCCUUCAGUCUCCGCUCAGGUAUUAAUGUGUAGCAAUUUUUGGUGCUUUGUUUUUAAUCUGUCAUAAUCUCGUGUUCUGAAUGUUCAAAAAUAAAUUUGGUGAAUA
Molecule: long non-coding RNA, 2749 nt
Organism: Lemur catta (Ring-tailed lemur)
Lineage: Eukaryota; Metazoa; Chordata; Mammalia; Primates; Lemuridae
Exons: 2
Source: RefSeq, a predicted model, not a curated record